Molecule: ribosomal RNA, 583 nt
Filed under: Stylaster erubescens
Lineage: Eukaryota; Metazoa; Cnidaria; Hydrozoa; Anthoathecata; Stylasteridae
Description: partial 16S large subunit ribosomal RNA
Rfam family: Bacterial large subunit ribosomal RNA
Source: RNAcentral
CCUAGAAAUAAUCUAAGGUGUAACCUGCCCAAUGAUCUUAAAACUAGAAAUAACAAUCUAAAUAAAAAUUUAAAGGACGCAGUAAUCUGACUGUGAUAAUGUAGCAUAAUCAAUCGCCACCUAAUUAGUGGAUAGUAUGAAUGGUCAAACGAAUUCUCCACUGUCUUAAUAAAAGAAAUAAUGAAAUUAAAAUAAUAGUUAAGAUGCUAUUUAAAAUUGUAAGACGAAAAGACCCUAUAGAGCUUAACUAUAUUUUCUUUAAAACUAAAAGAUUUAAUCUUAAAAAAGAGAAAAAGGUAGUUUAGUUGGGGCGACUAUCUUCUAAAAUAAACGAAGAUAAACAAAAUUAAUACAAAAUUUACUGUAUAAUUAAUAAAUUUAACAGUUAUAAAAAUAGGCUAUAAUGACCCGUUAAUAUUUUAUGAUAGAUUUAACGAUCAAUAAAUAAAAGCUACCUUAGGGAUAACAGGAUAAUUUUGUUUUAGAGACCUUAUCGAAAACAAAGUUUGUCACCUCUAUGUUGAAUUAAGAUAUCCCAGUAGUGCAGAAACUACUAAAGGUAGGUCUGUUCGACCUUUAAAAU